This 475-nucleotide long non-coding RNA is filed under the name Marmota monax (woodchuck). Lineage: Eukaryota; Metazoa; Chordata; Mammalia; Rodentia; Sciuridae. The record is from RNAcentral.
CUUGGGAGCAGUUGACAGUUGGAUUAGGUGGUUUCCUAAAGUUGUCAACCAAAGAUUCAGAGUCUGAGUGACCACCUCCCCUAUCCUCACCUCCGGGACAGGGAUUUCUUCAGUCCAUAGGACCCCAGGCUCCAUCUAACUUGAUAAUUUAUGAGAUUGUUUUUUCACUUAAGAGAAUAUUAUCUGCAGUGUCUCUGAUUUUUUUUUCUUAAGGGACUCAGAGAAGGACGUGAUGAAUUAUUCAGAGACUUUUCUCUGUGCAACAACUUGCAAAAAGACAGACAACUUGAUACAAAUUACGAUUCUAAAAUUGUUAGUAAUAUAUUUUAUUCAUGCGUUGUAUGUACAACGGAAGACUUCCUGCUGACAUUUCUUAGACAUAUCACUCAUGAUCCCAUAGUCACUCUUUGAAUGGGUGUAGAAUCCAACGCAAAAAAAAGAAAAAGAAAAAAAGAAAUAAAAAGAUGUACACAGC